Molecule: ribosomal RNA, 368 nt
Filed under: uncultured bacterium
Lineage: Bacteria
Description: bacterial SSU rRNA
Rfam family: Bacterial small subunit ribosomal RNA
Source: RNAcentral
GUAGGGGGCAAGCGUUAUCCGGAUUUACUGGGCGUAAAGGGUGCGUAGGCGGUCUUACAAGUCAGGAGUGAAAGGCUACGGCUCAACCGUAGUAAGCUCUUGAAACUGUUAGACUUGAGUGCAGGAGAGGAGAGUGGAAUUCCUAGUGUAGCGGUGAAAUGCGUAGAUAUUAGGAGGAACACCAGUUGCGAAGGCGGCUCUCUGGACUGUAACUGACGCUGAGGCACGAAAGCGUGGGGAGCAAACAGGAUUAGAUACCCUGGUAGUCCACGCUGUAAACGAUGAGUACUAGCUGUCGGAGGUUACCCCCUUCGGUGGCGCAGCUAACGCAUUAAGUACUCCGCCUGGGAAGUACGCUCGCAAGAGUG